UUUGUUUACCUUGGUUUCGGAGAGCGCAUGUUUGGGCAAGUGAGCGAAUGACACAAGAAGCGCAUCAUUAAUCAAGAAAACAUUGAAUAUAAAUCUCGAUGCAAUGGUGCGUCAAAAAAAAUGUAGGGACCAACGAGGUGGCUAUGGUAAAACAAGGAUUGAUAUUAUUGAUGGAGAUGUUGAUAUAAAUAGAUCUUAUACAUUUGGACCUCAUCAUAGAUAUAAUCCAUACUCUCAAAGAAAUCAUUUAAAAGAAAGAAAAAAAUACUUGG
Uloborus diversus is the source of this 272-nucleotide long non-coding RNA. RefSeq lists it as uncharacterized. The transcript is spliced from 3 exons. The record is from RefSeq and is a predicted model, not a curated record. Lineage: Eukaryota; Metazoa; Arthropoda; Arachnida; Araneae; Uloboridae.